This 462-nucleotide ribosomal RNA is filed under the name uncultured bacterium. RNAcentral describes it as "partial 16S ribosomal RNA". It matches the Rfam family "Bacterial small subunit ribosomal RNA", at positions 28 to 507 of the family's 1533-position model. The record is from RNAcentral.
GAUGAACGCUGACAGAAUGCUUAACACAUGCAAGUCAUUGGCGAAGCUGCGCUUGCGCAGUCUAGCCAAGGCGGACGGGUGAGUAACGCGUAAGGAACUUGCCCUGCAGACAGGGAUAACAGACGGAAACGACUGAUAACACCUGGUAUUGUCAGGCUGGCGCAUGCCGGCCUGAUGAAAGGAGACGCUGCAAGAGAGCCUUGCGUCCUAUUAGCUAGUUGGUGGGGUAACGGCCCACCAAGGCGAUGAUAGGUAGCCGGCCUGAGAGGGUGAACGGCCACAAGGGGACUGAGAUACGGCCCUUACUCCUACGGGAGGCAGCAGUGGGGAAUAUUGGACAAUGGGGGCAACCCUGAUCCAGCAAUUCUGUGUGCACGAAGAAGGUUUUCGGAUUGUAAAGUGCUUUCAGCAGGGAAGAAGAAAGUGACGGUACCUGCAGAAGAAGCGACGGCUAAAUACGUG